GGGUAAGUCCUGUACGACCAGCUCCCAUUGAACCCUCCAGGGCCGGAAGGCAGCAAAGGCAGAUGGUUGUAGCGGUGCGAUACAGUAAGCUUACCCUUU
Molecule: signal recognition particle RNA, 99 nt
Filed under: Bacteroidales bacterium
Lineage: Bacteria; Pseudomonadati; Bacteroidota; Bacteroidia; Bacteroidales
Description: signal recognition particle sRNA small type
Rfam family: Bacteroidales small SRP
About the family: The non-coding component of the signal recognition particle in Bacteroides
Source: RNAcentral